GUGGAAGGCAGCACACACUGAGAGGGGGUGAGGAGUAGAUAAGAGGGCAGGUGCUGAGCCACCGUUUGGAUGUAAAUCCUGGUUCUACCGUCCUGUGACCUUGGGGAACAGCAUUUUCUAAAAGAAGAGCGGAAGGGAAGAGGGUGUCAAGAGAGGAGAAAACAACCGAGAUAGAAACAAAGCACAUCAUCCCAGCUAAGCUGAACCUGUCCGAAAAACCACGAAAACUUUCCUUUCCCCGUAAUGAGCCCCAGUGGGAACCUGGCAAAGGAGCUCUUCAGAGGUUUCAGGAACCUGUUACCCUCAUCCUGGGAGUCAAGAUGGGAGCAGGUUGAUAAGGGAGAAACAGAGACUGCAGCAAAUUAAGGAAAUAGAAGACCGUGCAUUUGUCAUUUUGUAAUAUUAUUACUUAAAUAUUCCCAAUAAGUGUAAAAGAAUCCAACCUCUCCUGCCUCUUGAUGACCUAAAACUAUUACUGACAAAAUGUAUCCUCUGUGGUUUAGUCCUGAUUCGAGAUGUGGAAGACAGUGAAGCCUUUCCUGGCAUUAGCAGUCAGACUGUAAUAACCAGAAGGUGGAGAAAAAUACAUGAAAACUAUGGA
Molecule: long non-coding RNA, 601 nt
Organism: Bos taurus (domestic cattle)
Lineage: Eukaryota; Metazoa; Chordata; Mammalia; Artiodactyla; Bovidae
Source: Ensembl